RNAcentral lists this ribosomal RNA (243 nucleotides) under Triticum aestivum (bread wheat). RNAcentral's name for it is "partial small subunit ribosomal RNA". Lineage: Eukaryota; Viridiplantae; Streptophyta; Magnoliopsida; Poales; Poaceae. The record is from RNAcentral.
AUGAGCUGCCCGGCGAACGCGAUGGGCGUGAAGAAGGACGAGAAGAGCGUGCCGAACCUGGUGCAGCUGCUGGACCCGAGCCCAGGGUACACGUACGGCCAAGAAGUAGGCCAUCUCGUGCCUCCUGUCGCUGUCGGCGAGCAAGAGGUGCAAGAAGCUGAUGAUCGCGCAGGGCGCCAUCGGGUACCUGAAGAAGCUCUCCGAGAUGGACGUGGCAGGCGCCAAGAAGCAUCGGGUGCCUGA